AUUAAGUCAACACAAAGGUGGCUUCCUGUCGAAAUUUUCCUUGAAGUCAUCUGACUAUCUUCCAUCCCAUCGUGUUCCUUAUAAAAAAUGCAGUUGGCUCAACAGUAUUUUAUAUGUAAAUGAGAUGAAAAAUAAUUUUUAUUUCUCAUAAAGAACUGCAACACAGAAGUUUCAAUUUUUCAACUGAUCAGUCCUACUUUUUUUUUCUACCAGACUUUAUUGUUGCAGUGACUCAAACAAUAACAUCUCACUGUGAGGAAAUGUAGAUGAUGCAUAAAUAAAUUCUACCCUUUUAAGGUAAAAUCAUAUUACAGGUUGUUUUCUCUGCUUUAUCUAUCUCCAAAUAAAACACUUAGUAUAGUAAAGCUGAAUUUAGGGCAGAAGGAUAAGGGAGUUCUCAAAGGUAUGUUAAAAGAACAUAUUAAAACUUGCUAUUUGGAAAAUAUUCAAAUAUUUGGCAUAAGCAUACUUAAUAUCUAGACAACUAGAGAAAGCAGUGACAAGGGCUGUUGGAGAAUGAACACUGGAGAGCACACGGGCAUGAUGAAGAACAAGGUGUGAAAAGUUGAGUUAUCACAAGUGUGAAUCAUUUGUACUGAUUUCAAAUCCUCAACACCUUAAGAAAAGCAGGUACCCUUUCCAGAAAAUAGUCAUUUCUGUUUGCAUACGCAAUUUAAGAAUAACAGCAAAACUAAUGAAGAAAGUAUCUCAGAAGAACUAAAGAACUAUAGCUGAUACAUUCAUGGAAUAUGAAUCACUGCAAAUGCACUGAUUAAACAGAGGAGGAACACAGGUGCUACCAAAAUUGGAGGCAUGUGGGAAAUUGAACUGUUCCAGCCUAGCAGGGGCCACAGUCCACUAGCAACACUGCCAGCAUUGCCCAUUCCCAUUAGGGCAGAGAAAAAGGGGUGGCUGAGUCUGGGGAAGCCACCCAGCAUCCUUGGUGCCCAUCUCCAUUCCCUCCAGGACUUUCUCUAGCGUGGGCACUCACCUUUCUGCCACCCAGGAUCUCAAAGUGGC
RNAcentral lists this long non-coding RNA (1020 nucleotides) under Numida meleagris (helmeted guineafowl). RNAcentral's name for it is "lncRNA (ENSNMEG00000022598.1)". The record is from RNAcentral. Lineage: Eukaryota; Metazoa; Chordata; Aves; Galliformes; Numididae.